AUCCUGGCUUAGGAUGAACGCUAGCUACAGGCUUAACACAUGCAAGUCGAGGGGCAGCAUAUUGGUAGCUUGCUACUAAUGAUGGCGACCGGCGCACGGGUGAGUAACGCGUAUCCAACCUUCCCUAUACUAGAGGAUAGCCCGGCGAAAGUCGGAUUAAUACUCUAUGUUCUUCGUAGAUGACAUCUGAAAUGAAGCAAAGAUUUAUCGGUAUAGGAUGGGGAUGCGUCUGAUUAGGUUGUUGGCGGGGUAACGGCCCACCAAGCCCGCGAUCAGUAGGGGUUCUGAGAGGAAGGUCCCCCACAUUGGAACUGAGACACGGUCCAAACUCCUACGGGAGGCAGCAGUGAGGAAUAUUGGUCAAUGGACGAGAGUCUGAACCAGCCAAGUAGCGUGCAGGAAUGACGGCCCUAUGGGUUGUAAACUGCUUUUAUAUAGGGAUAAAGUGAUCUACGUGUAGAUUUUUGUAGGUACUAUAUGAAUAAGGACCGGCUAAUUCCGUGCCAGCAGCAGC
This 514-nucleotide ribosomal RNA is filed under the name uncultured bacterium. RNAcentral's name for it is "bacterial SSU rRNA". It matches the Rfam family "Bacterial small subunit ribosomal RNA", at positions 16 to 518 of the family's 1533-position model. The record is from RNAcentral.